AACGAACGCUGGCGGCAUGCUUAACACAUGCAAGUCGAACGAGACCUUCGGGUUUAGUGGCGCACGGGUGCGUAACGCGUGGGAACCUGCCCUUAGGUUCGGAAUAACUCCCCGAAAGGGGUGCUAAUACCGGAUAAUGUCUUCGGACCAAAGAUUUAUCGCCUUUGGAUGGGCCCGGGUUGGAUUAGCUGGUUGGUAGGGUAAAAGCCUACCAAGGCGACGAACCAUAGCUGGUCUGUGAGGAUGAUCAACCACACUGGGGAUGAGACACGGCCCAGACCGCUAGGCAGGGGAGCAGUAGGGAAUAUUAGAGGAGGGACGAAAGCCUGAUCCAGCAGUGCCGGGUGAGAGAUGAAGGCCUUAGGAUUGUAAUGCUCUUUUACCCGAGAUGAUAGUGACAGUACCGGGAAAAUAAGCACCGGCUAACUCCGUG
RNAcentral lists this ribosomal RNA (433 nucleotides) under uncultured bacterium. Its description in RNAcentral is "partial 16S ribosomal RNA". It matches the Rfam family "Bacterial small subunit ribosomal RNA", at positions 29 to 507 of the family's 1533-position model. The record is from RNAcentral.